AAGUCGAACGAGAGAUGAGGAGCUUGCUCUUCAAAUCGAGUGGCGAACGGGUGAGUAACGCGUGAGGAACCUGCCUCAAAGAGGGGGACAACAGUUGGAAACGACUGCUAAUACCGCAUAAGCCCACAGCUCGGCAUCGAGCAGAGGGAAAAGGAGUGAUCCGCUUUGAGAUGGCCUCGCGUCCGAUUAGCUAGUUGGUGAGGUAACGGCCCACCAAGGCGACGAUCGGUAGCCGGACUGAGAGGUUGAACGGCC
This 255-nucleotide ribosomal RNA is filed under the name Faecalibacterium prausnitzii. RNAcentral's name for it is "partial 16S ribosomal RNA". It matches the Rfam family "Bacterial small subunit ribosomal RNA", at positions 59 to 309 of the family's 1533-position model. Lineage: Bacteria; Bacillati; Bacillota; Clostridia; Eubacteriales; Oscillospiraceae. The record is from RNAcentral.